RNAcentral lists this ribosomal RNA (495 nucleotides) under uncultured bacterium. RNAcentral's name for it is "partial 16S ribosomal RNA". It matches the Rfam family "Bacterial small subunit ribosomal RNA", at positions 28 to 507 of the family's 1533-position model. The record is from RNAcentral.
GAUGAACGCUGGCGGCGUGCCUAAUACAUGCAAGUAGAACGCUGAAGGAGGAGCUUGCUCUUCUGGAUGAGUUGCGAACGGGUGAGUAACGCGUAGGUAACCUGCCUGGUAGCGGGGGAUAACUAUUGGAAACGAUAGCUAAUACCGCAUGACAACAGUUAUUGCAUGAUAACUGUUUAAAAGGGGCAACUGCUCCACUACCAGAUGCACCUGCGUUGUAUUAGCUAGUUGGUGUGGUAACGGCUCACCAAGGCGACGAUACAUAGUCGACCUGAUAGGGUGAGCGGCCAGCCUGGGACUGAGAAACGGCUCAGAAUCCCACGGGAGGCAGCAGUAGGGAAGCUUAGGCCAUGGAAGGAAGACAGAUCGUGCUACGCGGCGUGAGGGAAGAGAGCUUUCGGAUCGUAGAGCUCUGUUGUAAGAGAAGAACGAGUGUGAGAGUGGAAAGUUCACACUGUGACGGUAUCUUACCAGAAAGAGACGGCUAACUACGUG